CAGGAGCGUGGCCCCAUCAGUGCAUGCUGAAGGGCGAAGGGCUGGUACCGAGAAUUAUCCAUUUCAAGCAGAAGGAAAAUGGACCAGUUGUGGUGUUGGGACACAUUACAGGAUUGCCUGAAGGCCAGCAGAUGCCAUGUUCAUCAGUGUGCAAAUAAUAUACAAGGCUGUACCAGUGCAGGUCCUCACUUUAAUCCUCUAUCCCCAAAACACGGUGGACCAAAGGAUCAAGAGAGGCAUGUUAAACACCUGGGCAAUGUGACUGCUGGCAAAGAUGAUGCAAUGAUGUGUCUAUUGAAGAUUCUAUGAUCUCACUCUCAGGAGGCCACUCCAUCAUUGGCCAUGCAAUGGUGGUCCAUGAAAAACCAGAUGACUUGGGCAAAGAUGGAAAUGAAGAAAGUACAAAGAUGGGAAAUGCUGGAAGUUAUUUGGCUUGUGGUGUAUUUGGGAAUUC
Molecule: long non-coding RNA, 454 nt
Filed under: Homo sapiens (human)
Lineage: Eukaryota; Metazoa; Chordata; Mammalia; Primates; Hominidae
Description: non-protein coding lnc-FAM84B-13:1
Source: RNAcentral